UACGAAGGGGGCUAGCGUUGCUCGGAAUCACUGGGCGUAAAGCGCACGUAGGCGGAUCGUUAAGUCAGGGGUGAAAUCCUGGAGCUCAACUCCAGAACUGCCUUUGAUACUGGCGAUCUUGAGUUCGGGAGAGGUGAGUGGAACUGCGAGUGUAGAGGUGAAAUUCGUAGAUAUUCGCAAGAACACCAGUGGCGAAGGCGGCUCACUGGCCCGAUACUGACGCUGAGGUGCGAAAGCGUGGGAGCA
This 246-nucleotide ribosomal RNA is filed under the name uncultured bacterium. RNAcentral's name for it is "partial 16S ribosomal RNA". It matches the Rfam family "Bacterial small subunit ribosomal RNA", at positions 524 to 770 of the family's 1533-position model. The record is from RNAcentral.